AACGCUAGCUACAGGCUUAACACGUGCAAGUCGAGGGGCAGCAUGAACAAAGCUUGCUUUGUUUGAUGGCGACCGGCGCACGGGUGCGUAACACGUAUCCAAUCUGCCCGCGGCCCGGGGAUAGCCCAUCGAAAGAUGGAUUAAUACCCGAUGGCGUGGUCACUCCGCAUGGGGUUUCCACUAAAGGUAUUCCGGCCGCGGAUGAGGAUGCGUAUGAUUAGGUAGUAGGCGGGGUAACGGCCCACCUAGCCUUCGAUCAUUAGGGGUUCUGAGAGGAAGGUCCCCCACACUGGAACUGAGACACGGUCCAGACUCCUACGGGAGGCAGCAGUGAGGAAUAUUGGUCAAUGGGCGAGAGCCUGAACCAGCCAAGUAGCGUGAAGGACGACUGCCCUACGGGUUGUAAACUUCUUUUGUUCGGGAAUAAAGUGCAGUACGCGUACUGUUUUGUAUGUACCGUUCGAAUAAGCAUCGGCUAAUUCCGUGCCAGCAGCCGCGGUAAUACGGAAGAUGCGAGCGUUAUCCGGAUUUAUUGGGUUUAAAGGGAGCGUAGGCGGGCUGUUAAGUCAGCGGUUAAAUGUCAUGGCCCAACCUUGGCAUGCCGUUGAAACUGUCGGUCUUGAAUACACACAAGGGAGACGGAAUUCGUCGUGUAGCGGUGAAAUGCUUAGAUAUGACGAAGAACUCCGAUUGCGAAGGCAGUCUCCUGGGGUGCGAUUGACGCUGAGGCUCGAAAGUGCGGGUAUCGAACAGGAUUAGAUACCCUGGUAGUCCGCACAGUAAACGAUGAAUGCUGGUCAUUGGCGGCAUACUGUCAGUGACUGAGGGAAACCAUUAAGCAUUCCACCUGGGGAGUACGCCGGCAACGGUGAAACUCAAAGGAAUUGACGGGGGCCCGCACAAGCGGAGGAACAUGUGGUUUAAUUCGAUGAUACGCGAGGAACCUUACCCGGGCUUGAAAUGUGCAUGACGGCGGAGAGAGAGCUCCGCCUCCUUCGGGCAUGCAUGUAGGUGCUGCAUGGUUGUCGUCAGCUCGUGCCGUGAGGUGUCGGCUUAAGUGC
RNAcentral lists this ribosomal RNA (1061 nucleotides) under uncultured Bacteroidales bacterium. RNAcentral describes it as "bacterial SSU rRNA". It matches the Rfam family "Bacterial small subunit ribosomal RNA", at positions 32 to 1087 of the family's 1533-position model. The record is from RNAcentral. Lineage: Bacteria; Pseudomonadati; Bacteroidota; Bacteroidia; Bacteroidales.